UUAAGUCUUUAAUAACGUAAGGACUUUCUGUAACAUUUGUCUGUUGGUAUUUCUGGUUUGAAUCGACCCUUCUCCAAAAUAUUAUGAAAUGUAAGUCAUCGCCGUUUCUGUAUUUUGGCGCUUCCCAUGAUACAUUUAAUGUGUUUCGCUUGACAAUUACCCUCACUUUUCUAGGUCGGCUUGGAACUAAAAUGAAGAAUAUUUUUACUAACAUGACAAAUCAAAAUGUGUAUUUUUAAGAACAUUUUACAGGUUGGGUUCGGUUCCAAUAUUUUUCUGUCGAAUAUUUUCGCUAUAACCAAUCACAUUGCAUAUACCGCAUUCAUGUUUUCGAUCAGUUCUAGUGGAAAUCACGCCUAACCCACGUUAAAAUACGUUGCGACUUAAAUAUUGUGACUUAUAGGUUGCGACUUAAGCUAUGUUUACACGCUGCGAUUAAUCGUGUACGAUUCGUUUCUGGCGUAUGUGAUUGAGACUGUUGAGUAAACAAGCGUAAGCUGG
Molecule: non-coding RNA, 501 nt
Organism: Paramuricea clavata
Lineage: Eukaryota; Metazoa; Cnidaria; Anthozoa; Malacalcyonacea; Plexauridae
Source: the annotation of a GenBank genome assembly